This 590-nucleotide ribosomal RNA is filed under the name uncultured bacterium. Its description in RNAcentral is "bacterial SSU rRNA". It matches the Rfam family "Bacterial small subunit ribosomal RNA", at positions 912 to 1502 of the family's 1533-position model. The record is from RNAcentral.
GACGGGGGCCCGCACAAGCAGCGGAGCAUGUGGUUUAAUUCGACGCAACGCGAAGAACCUUACCAGGUCUUGACAUCCAGUAAAAGCCAUAGAGAUAUGGUGUGUCUUCGGACAUACUGAGACAGGUGGUGCAUGGUUGUCGUCAGCUCGUGUCGUGAGAUGUUGGGUUAAGUCCCGCAACGAGCGCAACCCUUGCUGAUAGUUACUAACAGGUAAAGCUGAGGACUCUAUUAGGACUGCCGGGGACAACUCGGAGGAAGGUGGGGACGACGUCAAAUCAUCAUGCCCCUUAUGACCUGGGCUACACACGUGCUACAAUGGCCGUUACAAAGAGGUGCAAAGCCGCAAGGUGGAGCAGAUCUCAAAAAAGCGGUCUCAGUUCGGAUUGUGGGCUGCAACCCGCCCACAUGAAGUCGGAGUUGCUAGUAAUCGCGGAUCAGCAUGCCGCGGUGAAUACGUUCCCGGGCCUUGUACACACCGCCCGUCACACCAUGGGAGUUGGUAGCACCCGAAACUGGUGAGGUAACCGCAAGGAGCCAGCCAGCUAAGUUGAGACCAAGGGUUGGGGUGAAGUCCUAACAAGGUAGGGU